UACGUAGGGUGCGAGCGUUGUCCGGAUUUAUUGGGCGUAAAGAGCUCGUAGGCGGUCUGUCACGUCGAUUGUGAAAACUCGGGGCUCAACCCCGGGCCUGCAGUCGAUACGGGCAGACUAGAGUGUGGUAGGGGAGACUGGAAUUCCUGGUGUAGCGGUGAAAUGCGCAGAUAUCAGGAGGAACACCGGUGGCGAAGGCGGGUCUCUGGGCCACAACUGACGCUGAGGAGCGAAAGCGUGGGGAGCGAACAGG
RNAcentral lists this ribosomal RNA (253 nucleotides) under uncultured bacterium. Its description in RNAcentral is "partial 16S ribosomal RNA". It matches the Rfam family "Bacterial small subunit ribosomal RNA", at positions 524 to 776 of the family's 1533-position model. The record is from RNAcentral.